AUGAGGAGGAAGCUUAGCGGCGGACGGGUGAGUAACGCGUGAGUAACCUGCCCAUAAGAGGGGGAUAACACAGAGAAAUUUGUGCUAAUACCGCAUAUUGAGCAUUGACCGCAUGGUCGAUGCUUGAAAGAUUUAUCGCUUAUGGAUGGACUCGCGUCUGAUUAGUUAGUUGGCGGGGUAACGGCCCACCAAGGCGACGAUCAGUAGCCGAACUGAGAGGUUGAUCGGCCACAUUGGGACUGAGACACGGCCCAGACUCC
This 260-nucleotide ribosomal RNA is filed under the name uncultured bacterium. RNAcentral describes it as "partial 16S ribosomal RNA". It matches the Rfam family "Bacterial small subunit ribosomal RNA", at positions 79 to 339 of the family's 1533-position model. The record is from RNAcentral.